GGAUCCUACCUGGAGUGUGGUGCAAUUGUGUUUAAAAUCUAUUGGGUGACAUUCAUAUUCUCACAUGGACAAGUAGAUAUAAAAAUAGGGUGGGGAAGGUAUUGGCAUGGCAUUUAAUUUCAGAACUCCUGAACCAGGAUGAAAUUUUAGAGUAGGAAAAAUAUGCUGCCAAAUUACUAAACCAAGAUAUAGUGGUGAAAAAUUGGC
This 207-nucleotide unclassified non-coding RNA is filed under the name Hevea brasiliensis (rubber tree). Lineage: Eukaryota; Viridiplantae; Streptophyta; Magnoliopsida; Malpighiales; Euphorbiaceae. The record is from RNAcentral.